GAUGAACGCUAGCUACAGGCUUAACACAUGCAAGUCGAGGGGCAUCAGGAAGAAAGCUUGCUUUCUUUGCUGGCGACCGGCGCACGGGUGAGUAACACGUAUCCAACCUGCCCUUUACUCGGGGAUAGCCUUUCGAAAGAAAGAUUAAUACCCGAUAGCAUAAUGAUUCCGCAUGGUUUCAUUAUUAAAGGAUUCCGGUAAAGGAUGGGGGAUGCGUUCCAUUAGGUUGUUGGUGAGGUAACGGCCCACCAAGCCUUCGAUGGAUAGGGGCUCUGAGAGGAAGGUCCCCCCACAUUGGAACUGAGACACGGUCCAA
RNAcentral lists this ribosomal RNA (316 nucleotides) under uncultured bacterium. RNAcentral describes it as "bacterial SSU rRNA". It matches the Rfam family "Bacterial small subunit ribosomal RNA", at positions 28 to 334 of the family's 1533-position model. The record is from RNAcentral.